This 253-nucleotide ribosomal RNA is filed under the name uncultured bacterium. RNAcentral's name for it is "partial 16S ribosomal RNA". It matches the Rfam family "Bacterial small subunit ribosomal RNA", at positions 524 to 776 of the family's 1533-position model. The record is from RNAcentral.
UACGUAGGGUGCAAGCGUUAAUCGGAAUUACUGGGCGUAAAGCGUGCGCAGGCGGUUUGAUAAGCCAGAUGUGAAAUCCCCGAGCUCAACUUGGGAACUGCGGUGGGAACUGUCAGACUAGAGUGCGGCAGAGGGGGGUGGAAUUCCGGGUGUAGCGGUGAAAUGCGUAGAGAUGCGGAGGAACACCGAUGGCGAAGGCAGCCCGCUGGGAUGACACUGACGCUGAGGCACGAAAGCGUGGGGAGCAAACAGG